AAGGACUUAAGUUAUAUAAACUAAUAACCUUCAAAGUUGUAAAUAAAAUAUUAAAUUUUAGGCCUUA
RNAcentral lists this transfer RNA (67 nucleotides) under Euparatettix bimaculatus. RNAcentral's name for it is "tRNA-Trp". Lineage: Eukaryota; Metazoa; Arthropoda; Insecta; Orthoptera; Tetrigidae. The record is from RNAcentral.